GCAUAAUCAUUUGCCUUUUAAUUGAAGGCUGGAAUGAAUGGAUAAACAAAAAUAUAUCUGUCUUAAAUUAAUUAUUAAAAAUUAAUUUUUAGGUGAUGAAGCCUAAAUAAAGCUAAAAGACAAAAAGACCCUAUUGAGCUUUAUUUAAAUUUAUAUAUAAAGUUAGAGUAUUUAUAUAAUAAAAAAAAUUUGGUUGGGGCGACAUAGGAAUAAAUAAAUCUUCCUAAAUUCAUAUAAAAAUAAAUAAAAUCCUUAAAUAAGAAAAUAAAUUAGUUACCAUAGGGAUAACAGGCUAAUUUUUAUUAAGAGUUCAUAUUGACAUAAAAGA
This 328-nucleotide ribosomal RNA is filed under the name Paralacydonia paradoxa. RNAcentral's name for it is "partial 16S ribosomal RNA". The record is from RNAcentral. Lineage: Eukaryota; Metazoa; Annelida; Polychaeta; Phyllodocida; Paralacydoniidae.